UGGGGGAUCGUCUAGUGGUAGGACAUCAGCCUUUGGAGCUGAUUACCGUGGUUCGAAUCCACGUCCCCCAGCCA
This 74-nucleotide transfer RNA is filed under the name Nitrospirota bacterium. Its description in RNAcentral is "Nitrospirae bacterium tRNA-Gln". It matches the Rfam family "tRNA". From Rfam's summary of the family: Transfer RNA (tRNA) molecules are approximately 80 nucleotides in length. Their secondary structure includes four short double-helical elements and three loops (D, anti-codon, and T loops). The record is from RNAcentral. RNAcentral also lists the same sequence under 1 other name. Lineage: Bacteria; Pseudomonadati; Nitrospirota.